UUUUUUUUCUAUUUGGCUUUCAUUUUCCCUGACUCCCUCCGAACCAACCUGCAUCACCCACCUCCCCCCAACCAAAUGUAUACUCUUCAAUACUUUUCUUCAUGCAUAGAAAAAUCAUACACAAACACAUAUGAAUACAUGUUUAUCAUUCAUCUAGAGGAAUUUUGUCACUGAUUUAAAAAAAGAGUCGUUUUUAUACACUUGUACUUUGCUUUUUUUGCUCAAGAAAACAUUGUAGACUUCUAUUCAAGUCCACUAGCAUGGUUUAAUUUGUCCACCUUAAUGGCUAAACGCUAUGGAAUGCAUAUACUAGUUUCUCCCCUCUUCCAAUUUCCCUAUUGAUGGGCAUUUAUUUUGAUUCUAGUGUUUUAUUGCAGUAGGAACAAUUUUAUAAUAAAUACAUAUGUUCAUCCAUCCUUUAUAUAUUGGGGUUUUACUUCUAAGAGAAGAUUUCCCAAAGUGGCAUAAGUAUUUUAAGUUUUAAUAGAUGUUGCCAGAUUGCUUUUUGAAAGAGCUCUAAUGAUUUAUGUUUCCACCAGCGGAGUGGAAGAACAAUCUUGGGACAGCAAAAAAGCAUUCCUAUUUCUUGUCAGUUUGACUGCGUACUGUUAUCUCAUAUUAUGACUUUAAUCUGUAUUCCCCAAUAAUUACCAAGGCUAAACAUUUUUUGAUGGGCCCAUCAUCAGCCACUUGGAUUUGCUCUCUCUACAACUUGUCUAUUCAUCUUCUCUGCCAUGUUUUGCCACUAAGUUAUCUCUUCCCUGUCAAACUGAAGAGCACUUCUCUGACUGCCUUUGCAAAUAUUUCAUCCAAAAUUAUAAUGUACUGACUUUGUUGAUGGCACCUUUUGCCAUACAAAAGAUCAUACAUUAAUGUAGUCAAUUUUUUCCUGUUAUUUGUGUUUUUUGUUGUUGUUGUUUUGUUUUUUAAGUAGGCUCCAUGUCCAGCAUGGAGUUCAGUGUGGGGCUUGAACUCAUGACUGAGAUCAAAACUUGAGCUGAGAUCAAGAGUCAAAGGCUUAACAGACUGGGCCACCACAGCAGCCAAUUUUUAAUUUUUAAUAGCUUUUGAGUAUUCUGUGUUGGUAAAGUUAAUCUCUCCAAUCCCUACAUUGUACAUAUAGUCUCCUUUCAUUUUCAUUUUAUUAUUUAAAAAAUUUAAAUCUUAAAUCCACCUGAAUUUUUUUUAAAAAACAUGGUUGGGGCCACUAGUCUAAUUUUACUUCCUUCCCGAUUAAAAGCUAAUUAUCCCAGAAUUCUUUUUAAAUAAACUAUUCCUUUCCCCUAUGGUUUGAAAUUCUACCUUUUAUAUAUGAGAAAGCUCAUAUAUAUUAAAGUCUAUUUCAGGAUUUUCUAUUCUGUUCCAUUGAUGUACUUAUUGACUCCUUUGUCAAUAUUUUAUUAAUUUAAAAAAAGUGUUACUUCAUGUUAUGUUCUGACAACUGGUAUGAAAUUUUCUUUUUCACACUUUUCUUGUCUAGAUUGUUAGAACAAAUGUUCUUCCAUAUGGGCUUUAAGAUCAUUUCCCAUAAGAUUAAAAAAGAAAAAGGCACAGACAUUUAGUGUAUUCCAAAAGAAGUGCAUAUAAAUUAUUAGAUGUUUACAGAGAGUAGCUUUUUAAAAAUAUUUUAUUUAUUCAUGAUAAACACACACACACACACACACAGACCAAGACAGAAAGACAGAGACAGAGACACAGGCAGAGGGAGAAGCAGGCUCCA
This 1720-nucleotide long non-coding RNA is filed under the name Canis lupus familiaris (dog). RNAcentral's name for it is "lncRNA (ENSCAFG00000050690.1)". Lineage: Eukaryota; Metazoa; Chordata; Mammalia; Carnivora; Canidae. The record is from RNAcentral.